RNAcentral lists this ribosomal RNA (497 nucleotides) under uncultured bacterium. RNAcentral's name for it is "partial 16S ribosomal RNA". It matches the Rfam family "Bacterial small subunit ribosomal RNA", at positions 28 to 507 of the family's 1533-position model. The record is from RNAcentral.
GAUGAACGCUGGCGGCGUGCCUAAUACAUGCAAGUCGAGCGAACAGACGAGGAGCUUGCUCCUCUGACGUUAGCGGCGGACGGGUGAGUAACACGUGGAUAACCUACCUAUAAGACUGGGAUAGCUUCGGGAAACCGGAGCUAAUACCGGAUAAUAUAUUGAACAGCAUGGUUCAAUAGUGAAAGACGGUUUUGCUGUCACUUAUAGAUGGAUCCGCGCCGCAUUAGCUAGUUGGUAAGGUAACGGCUUACCAAGGCGACGAUGCGUAGCCGACCUGAGAGGGUGAUCGGCCACCCUGGAACUGAGACACGGUCCAGACUCCUACGGGAGGCAGCAGUAGGGAAUCUUCCGCAAUGGGCGAAAGCCUGACGGAGCAACGCCGCGUGAGUGAUGAAGGUCUUCGGAUCGUAAAACUCUGUUAUUAGGGAAGAACAAAUGUGUAAGUAACUAUGUACGUCUUGACGGUACCUAAUCAGAAAGCCACGGCUAACUACGUG